RNAcentral lists this long non-coding RNA (336 nucleotides) under Phoenix dactylifera (date palm). Its description in RNAcentral is "long non-coding RNA (PDAC_LNC003816)". The record is from RNAcentral. Lineage: Eukaryota; Viridiplantae; Streptophyta; Magnoliopsida; Arecales; Arecaceae.
CAAUCCCAGAGUAAGAAUUGCAAUUGGAUUUCUCUUUGAUGACCAGCUGUGUUGCAAAAACAUUCAACUAAUAAUUCCACUAAAGACAUCCAUCAACCUAAGCCCAUCAGUCACACUAUCAGUUGGAAAACUCUGCAAGAAUUUCAAGGAGAAACACUGCAUCUUAGUCCACAACCAUAAGCUACCACAGAUAUUGUUUUUCCUUGGUGUCCUGAUUCUCAUUUGGUUGAGGAUUUACAGAAAUUCAACAAGACCAUCAUCUUUCAGAUACUCCUGAGAGCAGGAUCCCAGGAACCCAAAACAAAUUUUAAGCCCAAAUAAUCCUUCCAACCAGCU